Small nucleolar RNA from Perognathus longimembris pacificus (Pacific pocket mouse), 125 nucleotides. RefSeq annotates it as small nucleolar RNA SNORA40. NCBI's taxonomy places the organism in Eukaryota, Metazoa, Chordata, Mammalia, Rodentia, Heteromyidae. The transcript has a single exon. The record is from RefSeq and is a predicted model, not a curated record.
UAUUCUGAUUGAGGGAAAAUUAAAAAUGAGUUGGUCUUACAGACAGGUGCAAACAGUAAAUCCUCUUUUGCAACCCAGAACUCAUUGAUGAAUAUGAGAUUUUGGUACAUGUAAGAAGGAAUAUG